This is a long non-coding RNA of Lynx canadensis (Canada lynx), 659 nucleotides long. RefSeq lists it as uncharacterized. Lineage: Eukaryota; Metazoa; Chordata; Mammalia; Carnivora; Felidae. The record is from RefSeq and is a predicted model, not a curated record. The transcript has 2 exons.
CCCAGUGUCCUGUUCGUCUCUGUCCCCCUCACACGGCACAGCUUGCGCAAGGAUAGCCACCAGCCAGCAUCCACUGAACUGAUGUGACCCACUUCCACGCAAGGUAAGAGGAGCGAGGGACCGGCCUUUGAGGCAGGCUGUCAGACCACAGCGAGGCUCCUCAGCCACGUGGCCCUGAGACCAACAGAACAGGUCAAUAUUAUAAUCCUUUAUGAUCAAUACAUGACUCUUCCUUCACCCAUCAACACUUGGGAAACCCCAGUAGCAUUCAUUCUCAAACAUGCCUGCCAUGUUGUGAGAAUGGCACACAACUUUUUAGUUUUGCAACUGACAUUACGUCGGAACCAUGGUGCUGAGGACCGAAGACCACCAGGCCCAUCGCUGGCCUAAAACGUGACCACCAUGGAACCCACAGAGUGACUUCUACUUUGCAGGCCCAAACCUCCAAAACACACUUCCUUCCCAGAACUUGUAAAAAGGGGAAGGUGAACAGCAAAGAAAACCAUCAACAAAAUGAGAAGGCAACCUACCCAAAUGGGAGAAAAUAAUUGUGAAUCACCUAUCUGUUAAUAGGUUAUGCAACAUAUUCAGAACUCAUAAACUCAGUAGCCAAAAAAAAAAAAAAAGAAGAAAAGAAAAUUAAAAAAUUGAAAGAAAAG